CUCCCAACCAAGCCCUCCAGCAAGGAUUCAGGUUGUUGAGUGCUUGGGAGGGACACCCGCCUCCACUCUGCAAGAACUCAUAAAGGGAGAUGAGGGGAUCGUGGGAGGGAGGGAGGAGGGUGCCACUGAUCCCCUGAACCCCUGCCUCCGCCUCCAGGGUGCCCCUCCGGCCUCGCCAUGAGGCUCUUCCUGUCGCUCCCGGUCCUGGUGGUGGUUCUGUCGAUCGUCUUGGAAGGCCCAGCCCCAGCCUAGGGGGCUCCAGAAGUCUCCAACCCCUUUGAUGGCCUGGAGGAGUUAGGAAAGACCCUGGAGGACUACACUCGGGAAUUCAUCAACCGCAUCACACAGAGUGAACUUCCUGCCAAGAUGUGGGAUUGGUUUUCAGAGACAUUUCGGAAAGUGAAGGAGAAACUCAAGACUGACUCAUGAGGACCUGAAGGGUGACAUCCCAGGAGGGGCCUCUGAAAUUUCCAACACCCCAGCGCCUGUACUGAGGACGCCCUCCAUGUGUGUCCAAUGUGGUCACACGCCCAGGUGUGACCAAUAAAAAUCCUAUGGAAAAUUCUCUC
Homo sapiens (human) is the source of this 569-nucleotide long non-coding RNA. Ensembl annotates it as apolipoprotein C1 pseudogene 1. Its record names the gene APOC1P1. Lineage: Eukaryota; Metazoa; Chordata; Mammalia; Primates; Hominidae. The record is from Ensembl.